CGUUCUUUCAAAUCUUUUGGGAAAAGGAGGUAGAAUGUGAAAGCUUACCUUUGGGUCAGUCUUUUGCGCAGGAGGAGCUGCGGAUUGCGAUGAAGAGGCUUCAGAUCGCCUUGGAUGUUGUGCAGAGGGUGUCUCAGAUGAUGUACGCUUUGGUUCAACUUGCUUUUCCUCCUCAAAUUUUGCAUCUUGAAGCUCUUUCCCACUUCUCAAAGUAAUGGCACUUACAUUUUGUUUGGGAUUUGCCUCAGUUUGGGAUGGCAACUUUCCUUGAGUUUCCAAUCUGUUUAUGGAGGUGGCCAUUUGUCCUAUCUGUUGUUGUAUCAUUUGCAAGGUCUUCACUACUUCAUUCAUAGUGUUAUUGUCCACUGGAGGUGCUGGUUGGACUUGGCUUCUUUGGUAACCUUGGUGAUUCUGAUCAGUGUUGCCCUUUCCAUAGCUGAAAUUGGGAUGGUCUCUCCAACCUGGAUUAUAGGUGUUGGAGUAUGGAUCAUAUCUAGGCUGGUUGUUGUUGUAAUACCCGGCUAGACUUCGGUAUCGGAAUUCCUACCGUCCGGUGGAAUCUCGAAUGUCGGAGACCUCUAGAAGGGUAAAACCAUGUUUUCAUGAGAUGUUUUAAUGUUUUUGAUGAUUUUGAAUGAAAAGGAAAUGAGUUUUUGAAUAAGAACAACCUUGGAGGAAAGCUCAGGUUCGGCCGCCGAACCUCAAGUUCGGUCGCCGAAUAUGCAUGCGUUGCGGGUGUGCUUUAGGCCCCCGAAAGUAUAAGUGAGGGAAGUCCAGGUUCGGCCGCCGAACCUCAAGUUCGGCCGCCGAACAUGGCAUGCAUGCGGAGGCACAUUCGGCCCCCGAACGUGGCCUGGCCAGCCACUAUAAAAGGGUCCCUUAGCCGAAAACGAGCGAGUUUUCCCCAUUUUCGGCCAAGGUGAGCUCUCCACCGCCCCUCACCGAUCUUUGAUGCUUUUCCUCUAGAUCCUUCAAGUUUUUCACUUGUUUUAACCUUGUUUUGAAGAUUUCAGCUUUUGGGCAAAGUUUUGGAGCUUUGAGGUUCAAGAACUCAAAUCUCUCCCAACCCCAAGUUUGGUCGCCUCUACUCUCGAUCUUCAAGAGGUAAGAGUCGAUCUCUAGCUUAUAUUAUGUUUUAAGCAAGUUUUAUGAAGUUCAUGGGGGUAGGAUGCAUGUUUAGGUUAAAGUUAUGUUUAUGGGUAUAAAUGUAUGUUCAUGAACAAUGUGGCUUGCAAAUGCUUGUGUAUGUGUGUGUAGUUGGGGUUUAAGUUAGUUUGAGACCCCUAGGAGCUUGUGUGCAUGUUUUGGUUGAGCUAAAAGCAUGAUGGUAUGAGUUUGAGGCUUUUGUGCAUAUUUGAACCAAGUUUCUGCCAUUUGGGAGAAACUAGGUUCGGCAGCCGAAGGGACUUUCGGCCGCCGAACCCUCUUGUGGAGGCAGCCUUCGGCUGCCGAAGCUUGCCCCCGAAAGGAGACUUUCGUCUCUGUCUGGGAGUUUCGGCCGCCGAAAGUGCCGCCGAACAUGCAUGAGUUUCGCCUCUGUCUGGGAGUUUCGGCCGCC
Molecule: long non-coding RNA, 1558 nt
Filed under: Manihot esculenta (cassava)
Lineage: Eukaryota; Viridiplantae; Streptophyta; Magnoliopsida; Malpighiales; Euphorbiaceae
Description: long non-coding RNA (MESC_LNC005713)
Source: RNAcentral